UUUACCUGACUUUCAUUUGUUUGAUAUCAUAUUAUUCGAGAUUAUAACUGCACUAUGAUUCCAAGAAAACAAUUGUAAACAAAUGUUCACACAACAGCUUGAAAAUGGGACGUUUCAGCAACGUUAAGGUCGCAACAUUUUCAAAAAAGAUAAACCUGUCUGAAAUUGAACCCGAAUUUCAAUAUUUUGAUGCAAUGAUAACACACCGAGAAGGAAAUUAUGUUACUAUGGUAAGCCAUGAGUAUUAUCGGCCGAGCUACAGGACUCGUUUUCGUCGUCCUGGGCGCAAAAACAAUAGAAAUGUUAAUUUAAAGCAACAGGAAAGCACCGAACACGAGGAUUCACUUUUAGAGAAUCCAUCUGAUGUAAAAAAUAUAUGUGAAAAGCAGGGAAACAUCUCCGGCAAAUAAUUAUUAAUAGUAAAUGUAAAUUAUUAAUAGUAAUUCUAUGAAAUAAGUAAUUCUAAUUAUUAAUUAUUGAUUAUUAAUAAAUAAAGACCUAAAACUUCA
Molecule: long non-coding RNA, 509 nt
Organism: Dalotia coriaria
Lineage: Eukaryota; Metazoa; Arthropoda; Insecta; Coleoptera; Staphylinidae
Exons: 3
Source: RefSeq, a predicted model, not a curated record